RNAcentral lists this transfer RNA (72 nucleotides) under Cavia porcellus (domestic guinea pig). It matches the Rfam family "tRNA". From Rfam's summary of the family: Transfer RNA (tRNA) molecules are approximately 80 nucleotides in length. Their secondary structure includes four short double-helical elements and three loops (D, anti-codon, and T loops). Lineage: Eukaryota; Metazoa; Chordata; Mammalia; Rodentia; Caviidae. The record is from Rfam by way of RNAcentral.
GGGAAUAUAGUUCAGUGGUAUAGCACCUGCCUGGCAAGCAUGCGGUCCUGAGUUCGAUUACCAGUAAUCCUC